RNAcentral lists this ribosomal RNA (253 nucleotides) under uncultured bacterium. RNAcentral describes it as "partial 16S ribosomal RNA". It matches the Rfam family "Bacterial small subunit ribosomal RNA", at positions 524 to 776 of the family's 1533-position model. The record is from RNAcentral.
UACGUAGGGGGCAAGCGUUGUCCAGAAUCAUUGGGCGUAAAGAGCGUGUAGGCGGCCUGGUAGGUCUGCUGUGAAAACUCGAGGCUCAACCUCGAGAUGUCGGCGGAAACCAUCUGGCUAGAGUCCGGAAGAGGAGAGUGGAAUUCCUGGUGUAGCGGUGAAAUGCGCAGAUAUCAGGAAGAACACCUAUGGCGAAGGCAGCUCUCUGGGACGGUACUGACGCUGAGACGCGAAAGCGUGGGGAGCGAACAGG